RNAcentral lists this ribosomal RNA (443 nucleotides) under uncultured bacterium. Its description in RNAcentral is "partial 16S ribosomal RNA". It matches the Rfam family "Bacterial small subunit ribosomal RNA", at positions 338 to 795 of the family's 1533-position model. The record is from RNAcentral.
CCUACGGGUGGCAGCAGUGGGGAAUAUUGGGCAAUGGGCGCAAGCCUGACCCAGCAACGCCGCGUGAAGGAAGACGGCUUUCGGGUUGUAAACUUCUUUUCUCAGGGACGAAGAAAGUGACGGUACCUGAGGAAUAAGCGACGUCUAACUACGUGCCAGCAGCCGCGGCUAUACGUAGGUGGCAAGCGUUAACCGGAUUUAAUGGGUGUAAAGGGCGUGUAGGGGGGAGGGCAAGGCAAAUGGGAAAACUCAGGGCUCAACCCUGAGACUGCAGUUGAAACUGUGUUUCUUGAGAGCGUGAGAGGCAGUCGGAAUGCCGGGUGUAGCGGUGAAAUGCGUAGAUAUAAGGAGGAACACCAGUGGCGAAGGCGGAUUGCUGGACAGUAACUGACGCUGAGGCGCGAAAGCGUGGGGAGCAAACAGGAUUAGAUACCCGUGUAGUC